This is a non-coding RNA of Anas platyrhynchos (mallard), 16453 nucleotides long. Lineage: Eukaryota; Metazoa; Chordata; Aves; Anseriformes; Anatidae. The record is from RefSeq and is a predicted model, not a curated record.
UUGGGUUUUGGCAAAGAGCUCGCUCUCCAGGUGACACAUCUCAUUGCGCUAGGCAGGAACAAAAUUGGACAGUAUCUGGGAAGGCCUGGCUAAAUCCAUCCUGCCGGAUCCAACGAGCUCGGUGCACCACCUAACACAAGGCUGAACUGGGCUGAUCCUUUUUGUUGAUACAAUUAAUGCAGACUAAGCACAGGUGUCACUUAGGCCGGGCCAGGUGCAUGGCAGUUUGGUCUUCAAACAAGUAGAGACACCUGUGCCUGCAAUUUGUGUCCGGUCUAUUCGUAACUGGCCUAGCGUAAGAAAAAAAGGCAGAUGUGUGGAUGCAAACUGCAGUGAAGUGAUGGGUGUCAAUUUGGACAGAACUGUCUUUAUUCUGAGCCAAAACUGGGCAUGUAACAUCAGCAGACACACAUAAAAACAUACAAAAACACAGGCACGCUUUUAUAAAAUGUGUAGUAACACACUGAAUGUAUAUAGUUGUGUGGUAAUAGAUGAACUGCAAAAGAGUCUGUGAGCUUGUUUUCCCUUCAAAGAAAACUCAGUAUGUCCUAGUACAUGUAGUCAGAGACACACACAGUGGGUUUUACGCUGUUGUGAAUUCUGCUGGCUUACACAAGCAACAUUGUGCUGUUGUGGCUGAAGACUCAGUCCCCAGAUCUGCCAGGUCUCUUAAUCACAGUUGUUUGUAUCAGGUAUGAUUCAGAGCUAGCUUAGAGAUGCUGUGCUGUCUAACUAGGUAAAUAGGAAUUGAAGGAGCUCCUGAAUUCACACAGAGAUUUGUCUCACCUGUUUUUAAUUUUAGGAUCUAGCCUGAAGUGCACCGAAGACAGUGGCCUGCUAGCAGAGCUUGGCCAAGAAUGGCUGGAGACCAUAUAACUUCCUAUUUGUUUUCUGACUUGGUGGCUACUGAUGGCCACACAUUUUACACAUGGCCAGCUCUUGCUGUGGAGCAUGUCUGUUUAUAUUUUCUUUGAAAAGCUGCAGGUCAGAUGAGUUGACAAAUGCUGGAGCCAUUUGUGCUGUACAUUAAAAAUGUAUGUGCCACAAAUAUCAGGGCACUACAAGACCUGCCAUUUUGAGGAAGAAGUCACUGUGGGCUAUCUGCUCUAGCCCACAGGGGUAAUAUGACAUUUUUGUGCCACUUGGAAUGAGCUCCAUCACAUCAGGUGAAGUGAUUCAUGAUAACCUCAUGCAUUUUAAUGUAAAUGUCAACUGCAAUCUAGUAAAAGAAAAUGUACCUUAGAUACCUUGUCUAAUACCUCAGUGCUUGCCUGUGCAUUGUGGUGCCUGAAAGAGAUUUCGGAAGCCCCUCGACAUAGCCAUGCAGUUCUUUACGGGUUAAAGCCAUACUGCUGCCUGCUGAUGGUGAGGUGUGUGUGGUUUCUCCUGCGUGGAGGGUGAGAGUUUAACUUUGCUAAAGUGGGAUCUAUGUCCUGCCAGAGGCUGCACCUCCCACGCUUGAUGUAAAUUAUAGUUUAGCCAAAGAGAAGCACAUUUAUGUAGAGAUAAAUGGGAUCAGAGCUUUGCAGAAUGUGUUUUCCUGCAAGUCUGUAUGUAGAGCACUACCAUGCAGCACAUAAUAACAGUUCUUAAUUCCUCGCAGAUCAUAUGCGGUCACUAAUGUAGCUGUGGCGGCAGUGGCAAAGACAAUCCUGCAGCCUCGGCUGUUCGCUGUGUGUUUUAGAGACCCAGGGGAGCUGACACGAGGAAAAGAAGAGCAGAGGUUACCUGCCUCUUCCAGAGAUGCACAGUGGAUCUUAAGGUUGUGCUGCAUCCAGGACAGGAGAUGUGCAGGCCUCUUGUGAGCCACAUGGUCCUGUUAGCCACGUCCUGCAUCUUUCGGGAGUUCUCUGGAGACCACACCAACAGAGCUGUGUUAGCUGAUCGGAGAACCUACCCUGGAGAGAGGGGAGACAGUGGAAGCAAAAACUGCCGGGGCCUCUUGGAGGCAGAGACAGCAGGAGCAGAGCCCUUGGACUGUGUCAGCAGGUUCACAGAUGCCCAUUUGGAUCAGCACUUUGGAAGGGGACAAGCAAAGCCCAGGGAUCUGCAGCAGGCUUCCCAGCCCUGCGUGUGCUCCAUGUGCUGCGUGAGAUUUGCUGCAUCCAGUGGCCACUUCUAGCGAACAGGACCUCAUUCACUUUGCCUGAAUGUUUUCACAACCUUUCAAGAAAUCUGCGCUGCUACACACCAAUGCUGCCUCUUUUCAUGUAAGCCAGUUGUUGCUCCUACCACCCUUAUGUUACCACUUCUAAUAGCUCUUCAGGAGUGAUGGAUGAAAGGGACAGCUUCACAGAAAAGGAUGCUAAAGCCAGAGGUGAUGUUUUUCACUCUUUCAACACAUCAUCAAAUAGAUCACACUGCAUAAUUAGUCUCUCUGAACUGGGGAUCCAUUAUUUAGUAUGCACAGUGUUUGUUUAAGAGAUCCUUGCUCUUUUCUUUUAACUGUGAAGGGCUUUUAACUGCCUUUGAGUUGAAAAACUGUGACCAAAUGUUGUCAACAAGUUAAGCAGAUUUGUCCUGAUCUUACUGGUAGGUUAUUUCACCUUCUGCCCUUCAGAGUCUGUCUGCAACUCCCUUAAAAGUAAAACCUCAAGUGUUGGCCCAGGUUCAUAAGCCCAACUCUUGUUUGUGGGUUGUUUUUUUUUUUGUAACUUUUAAGUAUUACCAUGAUCCAGGUGAUUCUUUGUGUAUGUGUGUGUGAGCAUGCGUGUGCUGCUUUUUCUACAAAGCAUCAGGGUCAAAAAAACUGAACACUUUCAAUUGCUUCAAGGAAAACUAUUUGUGAAAGAAGAAAACAAAAGCAGAUUCCCAAGUAUUGUGUACUCAGAGCAGACAGAACAAGGCUGGGAGAAAUAUCAAUCAUUAUCUUCCAAAAGUUUAUUUAGAAUAAACAAAAUAAAAAUUCCUAAAUGUAACAAUAUGUAACAUAUAUUUACACUUAGCUCACUAAUUUAACAGUUGUAUCAGCAUGGUCAGGCGUUGGAAACAGCACAUCUAAGGUGAGCAAUACAGAUAGUAUUUCUGAAUAGUCUAAAACGUCUAAACAACAUCUUUCCCUUUCUUUUUUUUCUAGUCAUUGCAGCAUUGUUACAGGAAUCAGAACUGAAAUAGUUGCGCAAUAAUACUAUUAUUAAAAAAAAAAAAAAAAAAGGGAAGAAGAAAUUGACUGUUUACUUCUUUAUCCGGUGAAGUGAUCUCAGCUGCGACGUGAGACCCGAGAGGUGUCUUCACCAGACCUCGGUAAAGAUUUCAGCAGGUGGUUUAACAGACGGGCCCCAAGUGUCUUGUCCAUCCACUCGCAGGUGAGGAGAAGGUUGUGGACCUCGUGCAUGCACUGAAUGUAUCCAGUGCUGUACCUCUGCUGAGCUUCAAGACCCACUUUGGAAUCAGCUGCAUUGAACAGAAGGCAACUGGAGUUGGUAAGUGUGUAAAACCUGCACGUCCAACUUAAAAACAUUUGAUAGGGUCCUGUCUGCAUUGGCCCCUGUGGGGGCUUAUUGCUGAAACCACACUGAGCUUCCAGCUGAAAUCAUUGCAGGGGGGCUGCAGCAGGUCAGGGCCCUGCUGCUCCCAGGGUGAGGCAAAAGCUCUGCAAAUGGUGCAAGUCAGAGCAGUGGGGUCCAGGCUGGAGGGGGUACAGGGCUCAGGUGUCCUGCUGGAGUUUCCCACUGGAACAGGGAUAUCUCAGGGAGCUUCCCUGCCAGUCUAUAGCUGCCUUUUGGGGCCCUUUUAAGACACUGGGAGACACUGAAAAAUGUAUUCUGUAAGGCCAAGAUACUGGCUCCUGGAGUAGAGUAGGUAGAUUGCUUCCUGCCCCGUUUUCAGCCUGAUUUAAAUCGCUUGGGCUUUAUGAUAUGUUAGUGCUUUGCAAGGUUCAGGGGGAGGUGGUGCGGGGAAUGAGCUGCCUGGCCAGGCCGCCCCAGCAUCCUGCUGCCCACCAGCAAGCAGAGCCAAAAAGGAACAAAAGGAGAAACCGGCACUGGAAGAAAAAGCUUCCGUGGGUUACCAAGUGUUCAGCUCCAUCUCCCCAUCUAGUGGUGAAAGCCAAGCCCAGACCUCAACUCGGGCCUCAAGAGGUUUGAAGGAGGCUUUUGCCAAGCUGCCAGCUAAAGGCUUGGAGCUGUGCUCUCCUGACACCCCCAGGGCUGCCCUGAGCAUCAGGGGCUGUAGGGAAGGUGCACUUACCCAUCAGCUUGCUGUUUUGGAUGUUCUGAAGGUGUUUGACUGUCAUUUCGAGGAUGUCUGCUUUUUCGAGUUUAGACUGCUAAUAAAGAGAGAGUUCAGCAGCUGAGAGGCCAUGAUGUAUUUGUGCAAUGCCAAGUUUCCCAGAAGACAAAGCCCCCUGCCUGUCCCCCCAAAAGCCAAACAAUCCCCAUCAGCAGGACAAAAUCUGUGUAAAAGUGAGCACUUACAUCCAGGUGAAACGCACCCACAACGGUCUCUUUCAGUUGGUCCAAGCAGUUAUUGAUCCUUUCCCUUCGCUUCCGCUCAAUGAGAGGCUUCCUUAGCUGGCAAGGAAGAGAAAAGGAGGAGGAGGAAGAAUUGCAGAUGAUUUCUUUUUCACCUCUCUGCUGCAGUGGAGCGAGGGCCUAACAGGGCUGUGUGGGCUUCCCUGGAGCCAGGAAGGUCACAUCCCUGCGUGAAACCAGCGCGCAGCGAUGCGGCACUCGGCAAGUUACAGAUGGGGAGCUCUGGUCUCUAGCUCUGGUAAGGGCCUGUCCUUUGGGCCGUGCUAGGUCUGAAUUCUCUUACUUACACUCCUAUUAACCACAGCUUACCCAACUGAAACCAAAAGACAGAAACCUUUCUAAGGCAGAGAAAGGAAGCAGAAGAAAAACACCAACACCCACGUGGGUUAAAUUCAGAGAAAGCAUCUGUAUAAUAAGAGGAUGCAAAUGUUGUGUUUCUCUUUCCUAGAAGUCCGUAGCCCCCAUCGUUCACCUGCCGAGUUCCAGCGUCCAUCCACGCGUGGGCUUCCCCUGGGACCUACCUUCCUUUCCUCCUUGGUGCUGGAGAGCUUGUGCACGCCGCCGGCUGUGGCUGCGGCAGUCAUUGUAAUCCAGCCUGGCCGCCCUGGCACGCUGCGAGGACAGGGACGUGGAGGAGGCACUCGGGCAGUAGGUCGCUCCCUGUCCCUACAGGCUCUCUGCCUCUCCUCUGCUCCUCUGCUGUAUUUAUAACCCAGAAUUAGCAUGUGAAAGGGGCCUUGCCUUGGCGGGACUUCUUUUCCCACACGAGGGGUCGAGCCCAGAGGUUUGUGGCCAUCAAUCAAAGCUGACAGGUCACUGCAUCUUUUCAAUGACCACGCCGGCCCCCCCAAACGGCGACAGAUGUCCAGCCUCCAAAGCUUUGCUUUGUAGGGAUCUUUUGUUAAGGAAGGAGGGAAGCAAAAUGGGCGCGCUCUGAGCAGCUUGCGUGGCUCCUUGCUCAAUUUGCACAGAUUCCCAGGGAGGAAAACAAUAGCUGGGAACCAGUCGAGUUACACCUGGGAAAAUGCCUCCCAUGUGUCUUUCUUUUCCCUGCAUCUCCUUGAGCCAGCGCUGCUUUUUACCUGCUAACCUGAGCCUCAAUCACUUUAAAUCUUUGAAGCAGCCUCUUAAUUUAAUAAUAGAGUGCUUGAUCGACCAGUUCCUGCUCCUGGGAGUUGUUAUUGCAAGGCAACGACGAUCGAUUAAAAACUGUUGACAGCAGACAGCUACAGAAACAUUGUAUUCAUCAAAAAAUCCUCUAGGGAAAGCACUUCAUUUGCCUCUUGAGAACCCAAAUUCUCUGCUGUACGCAGCUAGAUGUAAGAAAUACGAAGCUCUUCUAAUUUUUGACUGCCGUGUAGUAUUUAAUAUUAAACUUACAGACAAUUGCACAUGCAAGCAAACCUAGAGGUGAGUUCGGUCCUGCUAAUUCUGUGGGACUUUUACUUGUUUGCUUUUUUCCCCCUUUCAUGCUGCCAGGAGUCUUGGGUGCUUUGGGGGGGAGGGUGUUUUUGUUUGUUUCUAAUCCUCUGAAAUGCUAGUGCGGAAGCACAUGGGCCUUCAAAGCAGACUUGGCACAGGAUGAGAAUGUGCCUUUAUGCUUCCUCACUUCUGUCUGGUUUUGAGGGGGAGUAUGAAGGCAUCUUUCAUGACUGUGCUUUUGCUUUCUGACAGUUGCUUUGCUAAUGAGCAGGAUCUGGCAGUGUCCUGUUGAGUCACGGAGGUGAAGCCCUUUAGGGUGGUGUUGAAUGUGCCACCUUAUUUAAAUGGACAGGAAGAAGCUCGAGUGGUUCAGAAGCACCAAAAGCCACCACGAGCUGCUCUUGGGAUUUCCCAUCGCCCGGCACAGCGCUGCAGCUGCAGAGCCCUCACUCCACCCCUUCAACCGUAGGUGGUGAUGUACCCCAGGAAUAAAAGCAAGGACAUCACGUCCCUUGCUUAAACACUGUGUGGGUGUAUGUUUGUAUGUGUGUGAAUGCAAACAUAACUGCAGUGUGUCUGCACGCACUGCUGCCUGGGCUCCUGAUGAAAACAUGUCCCCAGACGUGGUAUCUUGCAGGCAGGGGUUGUUAGUCAAAUGCAGGCACUGGGUGCAGUUGCUUGGUUUUAUAAGUGCCCUACUUGGCAAGGGUGCACGAGGGAGAGCCUGAGAUGGGAUGGAGUUUGUUUCUCAGGGAGAGGAGGACAUGGGAGGGGACAGUUUGUCCUUCGUGCCAAGUGAUGGUGAUGCAGCACAGGAGCAGGGAUGGGCACCUUAUAUCAGAUCUGUCCCCUGCACAGAAAACUGGAGGAUUUUCCACUCUCCAGAGACUGGCAAGGAGGGUUGGGAGUGCGAAGUUGUGGGCUGUGUCCCCUCAUAGCCAUUCUGAAACCUCCCCCCUCUGCCUGGGGCCCCCUUCUGCCCCAGCCCCAAUGCUGGUGACCUGCCUUUAUGGAAUGGCUGGGGCUGGCAGCGACCUUAAAGAUGCAUCUGGCUCCUCAGGGCUCUUUUGCAAGGGGCUGCACUGGUUCAUUGAAACAAGCACAGGCUGUGUGUGUUUGAGGGGAGGUGCUGAGGAUGGCGGGGAGCAGCUUGAUGGCCCCCGGUGCCCAGCCCCAGAGCCCCAGCUGAGCCCCAAGACUCUGGGGAUACCCUUGCUUGCAGAGCGCUCACUGCCCUGCCGGCCUCUGCUCUUGGUGAGCUCAUUUCAAGGUUCAUUUGUAAGACAGCAUUUCACUGAAAAAGAAGAGCAGCUUUUGCUGUAAACGGUUAUUUUACACCUCUCAUUCAGAGCAAAACCCUUUAUUUUCAAAGCAAAGGGGGUGCACAGGCGGGAGAGCUGCCCUGCCUUUCAGGGGGAAGCACGACAUCUGUGCUCGGGAUUGUAUGGACCAAACAGGCAAAUGCAAAUGAGCACAGAGCAUUAAAGGAAGCUUUUUGCAAAUUCCUGCUUUACUUUUGCAUUGCGCACUGCCAGGUUUCACUGAAAAGGGGAUUCUCCUUAGUAAACAAAGCCUCCCUUUUUUCCCGAGCUUUCCAAAAAAAGGGAAGAGAAAGGGCUCGGUGCUGCUUGGAGUUUUCUUUUUUGCUAUUUGUCUACAUUUCACACCCUGGAGAAAGAAAACAACUUUUAACAUCUGUUCCUGCACUUUUUAAGAUGGAAAUAAAGGCUCUUGAAAAUGGGGAAAGUGUGGCAGAUGUUGGCAGAUUCCCUUCAACGCAGAUGUCUUGCUCUGAAAAAAGUUUCUUUAGGAAUUUGUGGCCACGGCUCCUCUUUGACUUGGGACACGCGACUGCCUAGCGACUGAAGGGACGUGGGAAAGCUCUAUAGGACAAAAGAGCUUAUUCAAACAAACCUGAGAGCCGUGAACAAUCUAAUAACCAGCAGAGAAAUGGUCAGCGGCCUCCAGCCCUGCCAGGGAGGGGUGGCAGCCCUUGCCUGGUGCUGGCGGGGCUGGGGGCAGCUGAUGGCCGCUGGAAGGGGCCUCCUGCUUUCGGUGCCUCUAAUUGCAAGGCAAAUUUCCCCUCGCAGCCUCCGCGUGAAGCUGUGUGCAGCUGCAGGGGUGGUGCCACCAAGGUCUCUUCCCAUCAGGUGUCAUCCGUGUCCCGCAGAUGACCUGCUGUUGCUCCUCAUGCUCUGCGUGCUGAGGCCUGGCUCCGUAGGAAGCCGUUCCUGGGCAGGAGGACAUCACACAGGCCUGGAGCAGCCCUUACUGAAGAGGGGCCGGUGUGAGAGCCAUAGGGGUGUGCUGUGGGGCCACCAGUGCUGUGGGUGGGAGGCCGACGCACCAGGAGAGGGUGUCUCUGGCCUGUGGGGUGGCGGCGACAUCUCGUCAUUUCCAGCCCCUAGGGGUUUCUCAGGGGCAGCGUGGGGCUGCUUGGUGCUCCCCUCCCGCAGCCUCUCCACGUCCUGGUGGCCAAAGAUCUUCUUCCUUGAGGUGCUCGAGGUCAGCCACAUCUCAGCUGACCUGCAGAUUAGGCUGCAGAUGUCCUUGUUUGAAAUGAUACGAGGAGAAUCCUUCUGCCCAACAGCCUCGAUUUGACCAACUUGAAGAUUGUCACUGCUGUCUUCCUGGUCCAAUCCUUCCCACUUUCACACCUCUCCCCACAGGCUGUGGGAUCGCUCUCGGCAGUUUGCGCAGGACCGUUCCCAUGGUGGCUGCCCUGGCAUCCCCUGCUGGAUUUACCUGUCGGGAAGGAGAGAUCAAAUCCAUGCUGCUUUCUGAGGAACUGGCCAGUGUCUUGGAAUAGACCUUGCUAACACCAGAGACUCACUUCUUCUCAGCCUCAUCACCUCUGGAGAAGACCAUGUUCUUGUUACCAACCGUGACGCCCAUGGUCAAGUGGGGGCCAGUCUGGACAAUGUCCAAAGCAAUUCAUCAUGGUAUAGAGGUUCUCCUGCUCCAAAAGCAUUUUUAGGUGGACAGAGAGAGGACAUCAUGCAGUACUAUCCUAUGCCAUCCCCAGCUCCGCAUGCUCAGUAUCAGCUGACUGUACCAUCUUCAGAAGUGGACUCCCGGUAUAGGAAAUAAUUACAAGGCAGGUACCAGCUGAGUAAUUUUCAGCUCUUCUUUCACACACACCCCUCCAGUCUUUGUGUUAAGGAUCAGCUGAUGUUCCUGCUGUUGCUCAACAUGUCUCCUGUCUGGCAGGUUAGCAGAGCUCCUGCCUCUGGAGGAAGUCUUAUCUCAUGCUUUUGCAGCCAGAAAGCUGCUGGUUGCAACAUGGAGUCUUAGGCCAAGAGUGAGUUAUAGGAAGAAGAAAAUCUGAUAAGCUGUGUGGGUGGUGACACUCUGAUAAGGCCUAACCUCUUGCCUGUACUGCAGCAGUGGAUGGGGGCAAAGAGCCAAGCUUGGUGGAAAGAGCAGGGGGCUUCGAGGGAGAGCUCGAAGCAGUUCUUGAGCUUUCCUCGUUGGGCAUCCCAGGAUUUGUUUUGUUGAGAAGGGCAGCUCUGGCCUUUUUCACACUCUGUGCGUCUAACUUUGCCAGAUGUCACCUGAUAACAGGCCUCAUCUAUAAUGCAGCAAGUGCUUGGUUUAUCCAGCCAGCUUCACUUUCACAGCAAUUUCUGCACGUGUGUCCUUGCUCCCCAGAUGUCAGAAACCAGAGCUUGGCACCCCACAGCAGCCUUUGCACAUCCCACACAGCCCGUUUCUCCUUGGCUUCUUGGUUCCUGAGGCCUGCAGAAGGAGCUGGGGCCAUUUCACCUUCAUGAGAUAAGUCUCUCUUCUGUGACUGGGUAAAUUCAGCUUUCACCCUGGCUUGGCCACAGGCCAAGAGCAGCUUUCUUUUUAUAGCGCACGUGUAUACACGUGCUGACACCACAUCCUGGCCCUCGGCACAAACCCCCUUGUCAGCACAAUGGAGGCAAUGAGGAUGGUCACCGCUCCUUCUCUGCGGGACGAGCACCUCGCAUUCCUCGUGCCAGCGCCUUGUGCUAGGCUUUCCGCGCCUCAGCAUCUGCCACAGGGCACGAAAGGACAGCCAGGAAGGCAGUGGGCUUAUAAACAGCACUUCCUCCGUGCUGCUCACUUCUGGUUCUGUGGGGCUGCGAUUGCAGCACCGGAGGAUGUGAGGAAACGCGUGGUUAGGGCUUGUGUGCCUCUCAGGCUCAGUUUUCACGCAGCCCCUGCUGGCUUUGGGGGCAGCAGAAAGCACAAGAGCUUAGGGUGGGAGGGCGUGAGCUGCAGGGCAUAUUUUCUUCAUCAGCCAAGUCCAGCCUGGAUUGCACAUAAAAUCACAUUCUGGUGUUUAAGGUAUGAGGAUUUCUUAUUCGUCUGGAGGAACCAAGGGGUCUGGGACACAGCGGCUCAGAGGAAGGGAGAGCACAUCUCCCAUGGGUGAGAGGGCAGUGAGGACCCAUACAAAGAUAUGUUUCAAUGAAACUGCAAUGGCUCUUCUGUUAACUCAGCCCCUCAGCAGACCAAAUCCAGCUGAACCACAUGCAACAGCACUAAUCUAGUGCCAUUCAUUGUAGCAGUUUUCUGCCGUGAGAGCUAAUUAGUUAGUUUCUGUAAAGACCUUUGAAGGUGUAAAAUGCUAAGUAAGUGUGUAGCAGUAUUAUCCAAAGGGUGUGGACUUCAAAGCGUAAUGGGCACUAUUUAAAUAUGAACAUUAGCAAAUACAGCUCAUAAUUUCUUUAAAACAAAAAAGAACAGCGUGCCAAGAGGAGGACCGAGCCCUGGACUGCAGAAAUCAGUCUCCAGCCCCAGGGGACACAGAAAGGGGAUUGGGAUGCACACAGUGGGGCUGCCAGCAGGGAUGCUUUCACCCUUCCUGUCUAAUGGGCAUCUCUGCCAUCUCCUCGUGCUGGUUCAUCUUCCUUCCUUUUUUGCCAAGGCAACAGGACACGGGAUGACAGCGCACACGUGUCUGCCUUUCUGUGGAGUUUGGCUUUCCAAAGGAGCGUUUCUGUAUCAGCACAUCUGAGAAACAGCAGUCACUUUGGUAACACUGACCCUGAAGAAGAGUCACAAAAACCAGUCAUUCCCCUGGAUGGUGAGCCUUCAGUUCAUGACCCUUGGUGUUCAGCCUUGGCAUACCGGCAUAGCCGAAUUGUGUGGCAGCUCUCAGGGAUGAUGGUCAUGCAGGCAUCUGUGAUGGUGACAGCAAGCUGGAUAUGACCAGCGGUGUGCCCUGGCAGCCAGGAGGGCCAACCGUACCUUGGGGUGCACCAAGCACAGCAUCACUGGUCGGUCAAGGGAAGGGAUUGUCCUGCUCUGCUCUGUGCUGGUCCUGCCUCACCUCGAGCACUGUCUGCAGUUCUGGGUACCACAGUACAAAAACUGUUGGAGUGUCCAGAGGAGGGCGAUGAAUAUGGUGAAGGGCCUAGAGGGGAAGACAUAUGAGGAGCAGCUGAGGGCAGUGGGCCUGGAGAAGUGGAGGCUGAGGGGGGACCUCAUCACAGCCUACAGCUUCCUCACAAGGGGGAGCAGAGGGGCAGGCACCAGUCUCUUCGGUCUCCAAUUAUAGGACCCAUGGGAACGGUGUCAAGCUGAGGCAGGGGAGGUUCAGGCUGGACACCAGGAAGAGGUUCUUCACCGAGAGGAUGGUCACGCACUGGAACAGGCUCCCCAGGGAUGUAGUCACUGCACCAAGCCUGCCAGAGCUGAAGAAGCGUUUGGGCUGUGCACUUAGUCACAUGGUCUAAAAUUUUGGGUAGACCUGUGUGGUGCGAGGAGCUGGACUCAAUAAUCCUUAUGGGUCCCUUCCAACUCAGGAUAAUCUAUGGUUCUAUGGGUUCUAUGGUCAGAAGGCAUCUGUGGGGGCAUAGGCGGCUGUGGGAGCCUGCAGGGGGCAGUGGGGACUGGGGAUGCCACCCACCAAAGGGACCCCUGCACAGAUUUACGGAGCUCCGCUGUGUUCUGCCACUGCUUCCAGUGCAAGUGUCAAAAGGAGAAAACCCAAAGGUAGAAGCCAAUAGAUGGAACACCCUUUUAAUCCUUUCACCAGCAUUCACAGCCUUAUUUCUUUCACAUGUGAUUGGGGAUUUGUAGAUGUAUUUGCUUCCAGUUUGAUUGAAUUAAUGGAUGUAUUUCACUGUGUGGUUUUAUUUAUUUAUUUAUUUAUUUUCCUUCUUUUAUUCAGGAAAUACAUUCUGUCAUGGCAUUGUUCUUCAGAGAGACUGCUGUUAUUUCCUUUCAUGUUUACCAACUGAUGGAAAUCUGUUUUUGGCUUUAGUAGUAGAUUCUGACUGGAAUGGAUGCUGCACUUUAUAGAUAGCUUUCAAUUGUUCUACAGCAAUAAAAAGUUUAUUAAAAUGACAUGGUUUUGCGACAUGACAUACAGCUAUUGUUGCUGUCCAGGAAAUGAAUUUGCAACAGGCUUUUUUCCUAUGAUUCUUCUGGCAAUUGUGUUUUCUGUUUCUGACAGCCUUUACAGGCUAUCCUCAAUUCCUGUGAUUUGCAAUAAUGUUUUAAAAAUAGGUUUUAAUUCUGAAGUGGCAGCUUGAAUUGAGGACAAAUUAUACCAUUCUCUUGAGAAAAAAAAAAAUAAUCCUGAUAUGGAUGAGAAUUACAUUUACUUGAGCUUUCUCCUGUAAAUAUGCUUUUUUGGGGGUGUUGGUCUGUUCUUUACAUGUGAAUUGAAUGAACUGAAAGAUGACAACACGCUCACCAGUACGUGUUUCUUUGAGAAAAGCUUCUGGAGUCAGCAGUGAACAUCCACAGCCAGUAGCAGAGCUGAAAUGCAGCCUCAGGAAAAGUCACAGGCACUUUGGAAACCUGGGUGAUUAAAUUCAGCCUCUUCAGCUUGGCCUGUUCCACAGUCUGUGGAAAGACUCAAUUCUUUUUCUUCCAGACUUUAAGCAGAAGAUAUUUAGCAUAACUGCAGUAGUUUCUGGUGCUAAUAUUUUCUUCCCAAAGCUUUUUCCAUUAAACUCUUUGUCAGGGAACAUGAACCUGGGUUUUGGUCUCUGAAUUCUAUCAGAGCGUCCCCAUGCCCAAGCAGUCUUGAACUAAAUCAUAAACCGGAUGUUGGUUUAUGUUAUUUCUUCAUUGUAUAUGUGUCAAGGCAGCUGGAGAGAAGACCCGGAUUAUUUUUUCAAAUGCUCUGUGUCAUGCCUGUUGUGCGACUGUGGGACUGGCCAUGUAGUUAGCAGGAACAUCUCCGUAUCAUGUGGAGCAGUGGCGAGAUGCACAAGGUAAAGGCAUUUGUUUCCACCUUCCUGGGCUACCUGCCUGCUGCUCGCCUUCGCUCCUGUUCCCAGUGCCUCUGCCCUAACGAAAUGAGGGAGAUGUCAGAGCAAGGUAAAAAAAGGUGAGUUGCUUCCCCUGCGUGAAGUACUAAGGAAGAGGAGGGUGCAGCAGAGGUAUUAAGAAAUACACCCUGAUCCCUGCUUUUGUGGCAGCACCUGUGUCUCUAACUAAGGAAGAAAGUAACCACAAAGUGUCAGCAGCAGAACCAGAGCUAAAGUGCAACUAAAAACCACAUUCAAAACAUGCGCUGCCCUUCGCUUCCUUGCUCUCAACUUCUCUUUCUCUGCUUUUACUUAACCAGCCGGUGUGGCUCUUCCCCCAUUUCCUCCUUUCUCUCUGGGCUCCGGGGCUCAGAGACGGUGGCACUGGGACCCCAGGGCUGUGGGAACUGGAGGGAGAGGGUGCAGGAGGCCACCGCCGCCGCCUCUGAGCAGCUCGAGGUUCUUGCUUUUUUGUCAGAGACAGCAGAAGGAGGUUGGGUGCCGUUACAUCACUGCUGUGAAAUGCAUGUUAAUGGCUCGUCAGCUCGGCUCCACGUUUGGUGGGAGGGAAAGCCGGUGUGUCUGGCAGCGCCAGGCCCUGCAGCAAAUCGCAGGGUGUUGGUGCUGGUGGUGGUACUGGCCCCAGCUGCUGUUUUUUUUUUUGUUUUUUUUUUUUUUUAGUCAUGUUUAUUCACUUCCUAAUUUGCAAGAAUUAAGCAAUUCACAACGAAUGUCUCGGUCAAUGGUGUGAAUUGGUGAAUGGCUACUGUACUAAAAGAUCUCUCACAUGUUGAAUUUAAUUUCUGAGAGCUUGGAAAACUCAUGGUCUCUCUGCUCACGGAUUUCCCCGAAGUACACCACAUGGUGAUGGUAAUUAUUCUGAACACAUCACUUGUGUGGACUUUUUUCCAGCGGUCACUUGUAAAGCAGCAGUGUCUACAUGGAUUUUCCAAGUGCUGGCAUUGAAUUACUGUGCCAGUCCUUGUCUUUAAUUCUUUCUUCUCUCUCUUCGCUACCCCGAAUAUUAUCUGUUUAAACUUGAAUGUUUUUAACAUAAUUACAGGUUAACAAUUCGAGCUCAGACAUACACACCCUUUCGAUGUUGGCUGUGAGAACAAUAAUUUCCAGCUCACAAGCAGGAUACACAAACUGCCAACAUUUUGCCGACCGCAUGCUGUGGGCCCAGACAAGCCUGGCAAACCAUACCCGGAGGCCUUGUCACCUUGUCACCCGCACGAGAGGCAUGUCCCACCGCGCACUUCAGGCCCAGAACUGCCCUGUCUGUCUGUGAGACGAGCUGUCAUCACAAGGAGAUUUUUUUUUCCCUGCCCCACCUUCCAGUGGUUCAGGAAACCAUCCCCACGGCCGCAGCGCUGCUGCAGCUGCCCGGCUGCGUAGCUGAAUGCAAAUUCAUGUGCACUUUGACACUGCCAUGCACAGGGCUGGUUACAGGUGUGGUCAGAAAUGUUCUUCUGAGCCUGAGCCCUAGGACACAGCCCACCCAGCAGGCCUCUUCACGUGGGCAGCACAGGAGGCCAAGCCUUUCACUUGUUCCAUGAGAUCUCUCUGUAGCAGAGCCAGUGACAGGAAUCUCCUUGUGUCUUAAUCAGCUUUUAUUUAUUUUUUUUAAAUGCCCUCAUUACCAGGAAAUGCCACUGCUACUGUUCCUCAAAGAAGGGGAAUACCUGUAUCGUUAAGUGUCUCCCCAACCACCACCACCCUGACCAUCUCAGUACACAUAAGAUUUCUCCCUGUUUUUUUGUUUGUUUGUUUGUUUGUUUUUGACAUACUUCUGUCUGUAAUGCUGUAUAUUGCUAUAUUAUGUAUAUUAUGUUAUGUAUAUUGUAUAUGGCAGUGAAGCCCUGGGAACUAUCAAGUCUGAAACUGGAGGUGAACAAGGGGACUUUCAACAGGGAAGAGAGCGGGAUGUUACAGGCAGAUGGCAUGCAAAGGAUCCAGGAAUGAAAAAUCUGUCUCACAGGGGCGAGAAGUUGGGUUGUGAAAUACUGGAGGUUGCUGUCAGGAUACUAAAAGACGCAGUUAGUGCAGAAUACACGUAGAUCCAGAAAUGCAACACGUGGGGCGAUGCAGUGGCCAAGCAUGUUGCUGGGGCACACCAGCUGAGCUCUGCUGAGCUGCUGUUUUCUUGGCCCUCUGGUUGCUGCCCAGUGAGGCAGCUGGUGGUCAUAUUUGUUGUCUAUUUGGUGAUUGUAUGUGUUGUCUAUGAAAACUAUUUUUGCUUAUGCUUGAGUGUUUUUAUUAUUAUUAUUAUUAUUAUUUUUAAUUUAGUAAACUUCUAGCUUAGAGGAAGGGAACAUCUGCCAGGUGUCAGGGCAGAGAAGUGCGCAGGGGCAAAGGUUCCCGAGGGCAGUGUAUAAGUGCAGCUCCACAGGGAAACCCCACUGUGCCAGUUCAGGUGCCCUUAUGGAAAUCGCUUUCACUUUUCACCUGCCCAGUCACCUCCUGGUGGCUUGAAUACAUCCUCACUCCACUCAAGAUGAGAGUUAUGUUUUACUUCCCAUUUCUACUCUUUUCACAAACAAAUCUCUGGUUGCCUUUCCCUAGAGGGAGAAGGAAGAAAAUCAGCCUUCACACCUCCCUGCAGACCUUCACCUGGCUCUGGUGCUGCAGGUUGCCAGAGGCAGGGCAGGAGAACCAUAUGAACCAGGCAGGCAAGAAAACCAAAUGUCUCAUUUCCUCAUAUCCACUUCUUCCUUUCCUGCUCCUGCAGCUUGUCUCUAGUGGAGGGCACCAGACCAGCAGGGAUUUGGGGGACUGGCUGCUCUGCAGGACCUCUCUGCACAGGGACAGCAGCAGAAGUGCUGGGCUGCCUUUUCAAUCCAAAAUGCAAUAAACCCCACAGUAAGAGUUGUUGUGUCCAGUGCUGUGUCCAGGUAAGGAACGUGUGGGAGAGCAAGGGACAGCUUGGCCCACCUGACACAUUUUUUUUUUCUUUUAAAGGCAGAAAAGGCAAGGCAUAACACACAGAGUUCAAAGCAGUAACAUUCUUCUGCAGAAAAAAAUGACACUGAGAACUCCAACCAAAAACUUUCCCGGUGAUGUGACAGGCAAGCUACAGGAGAGUAAUGUGAAGAAAUCUAACAUGGCAGAGGUAAUUAAAAAGAAACUGAAGAUAGAAACUGUCAGCUGGAGAUGUACAGCGCAGCAGAGCGUGAGGAGCUUAAGGACUUUUCAGAAAACCAGGCCAGCGAGUCCCAAAUUGCCAUACAGCAGUAAUACAUCAGGCCCGCAGGUGCAAGUGUUCAAAUCAUAGCUUGAAAGAAAUUAAUGACUUGUUCCAUAAAAACAUAUUUUUCUGUUUUA